AGAGUUUGAUCAUGGCUCAGAACGAACGCUGGCGGCAGGCUUAACACAUGCAAGUCGAACGCUCGUAGCAAUACGGGAGUGGCAGACGGGUGAGUAACGCGUGGGAACAUACCCUCCGGUUCGGAAUAGCUCAGGGAAACUUGGAUUAAUACCGGAUACGGCUGAGAGGCGAAAGAUUUAUCGCCGGAGGAUUGGCCCGCGUUCGAUUAGCUUGUUGGUGAGGUAACGGCUCACCAAGGCGAUGAUCGAUAGCUGGUCUGAGAGGAUGAUCAGCCACAUUGGGACUGAGGCACGGCCCAAACUCCUACGGGAGGCAGCAGUGGGGAAUAUUGGACAAUGGGCGCAAGCCUGAUCCAGCCAUGCCGCGUGAGUGAUGACGGCCUUAGGGUUGUAAAGCUCUUUCGCUCGGGACGAUAAUGACGGUACCGAGAUAAGAAGCCCCGGCUAACUUCGUGCCAGCAGCCGCGGUAAUACGAAGGGGGCUAGCGUUGUUCGGAAUUACUGGGCGUAAAGCGCGUGUAGGCGGGUCUUUAAGUCAGGGGUGAAAUGCCAAGGCUCAACCUUGGAACUGCCUUUGAUACUGGAGAUCUUGAGUCCGGAAGAGGUGAGUGGAAUUGCGAGUGUAGAGGUGAAAUUCGUAGAUAUUCGCAAGAACACCAGUGGCGAAGGCGGCUCACUGGUCCGGAACUGACGCUGAGACGCGGAAGCGUGGGGAGCAAACAGGAUUAGAUACCCUAGUAGUCC
This 744-nucleotide ribosomal RNA is filed under the name uncultured bacterium. Its description in RNAcentral is "bacterial SSU rRNA". It matches the Rfam family "Bacterial small subunit ribosomal RNA", at positions 8 to 796 of the family's 1533-position model. The record is from RNAcentral.